GGACCGUGUAUAAGUCUCCUGGGAUGGGGCGUCAUAGAGGGUGAGAAUCCCGUCUUUGACACGGACUACCAGUGCAUUGUGGUAUGCUCUCAAAGAGUCGAGUUGUUUGGGAAUGCAGCUCAAAAUGGGUGGUAAAUUCCAUCUAAAGCUAAAUAUUGGCGAGAGACCGAUAGCGAACAAGUACCGUGAGGAAAGAUGAAAAGAACUUUGGAAAGAGAGUUAAACAGUACGUGAUUGCUGAAAGGGAAACGCUUGAAGUCAGUCGCGUUGGCUGGAAAUCAGCCUUGCUUUUGCAUGGUGUAUUUUCUGGUUGACGGGUCAGCAUCAAUUUUGACCGCUGGAAAAAGGCCUGGGGAAUGUGGCAGCUUCGGCUGUGUUAUAGCCCCUAGUCACAUACAGUGGUUGGGAUUGAGGAACUCAGCACGCCGCAAGGCCGGGUUUCGACCACGACCGUGCUUAGGAUGCUGGCAUAAUGGCUUUAAGCGACCCGUCUUGAAACACGGACCAAGGAGUCUAACAUGCCUGCGAGUAUUUGGGUGGAAAACUCAAGUGCGUAAUGAAAGUGAAAGUUGAGAUCCCUGUCGUGGGGAGCAUCGACGCCCGGACCAGAACUUUUGGGACGGAUCCGCGGUGGAGCAUGUAUGUUGGGACCCGAAAGAUGGUGAACUAUGCCUGAAUAGGGUGAAGCCAGAGGAAACUCUGGUGGAGGCUCGUAGCGAUUCUGACGUGCAAAUCGAUCGU
RNAcentral lists this ribosomal RNA (741 nucleotides) under Agaricus luteofibrillosus. RNAcentral describes it as "eukaryotic LSU rRNA". It matches the Rfam family "Eukaryotic large subunit ribosomal RNA", at positions 172 to 905 of the family's 3401-position model. Lineage: Eukaryota; Fungi; Basidiomycota; Agaricomycetes; Agaricales; Agaricaceae. The record is from RNAcentral.